Molecule: ribosomal RNA, 463 nt
Filed under: uncultured bacterium
Lineage: Bacteria
Description: bacterial SSU rRNA
Rfam family: Bacterial small subunit ribosomal RNA
Source: RNAcentral
CAGGCCUAACACAUGCAAGUCGAACGGUGAUGCAGAGCUUGCUCUGCGGAUCAGUGGCGAACGGGUGAGUAACACGUGAGUAACCUGCCCCUGACUCCGGGAUAAGCGUUGGAAACGACGUCUAAUACUGGAUACGACCCGUGGAGGCAUCUCCUGCGGGUGGAAAGAAUUUCGGUUGGGGAUGGACUCGCGGCCUAUCAGCUUGUUGGUGAGGUAAUGGCUCACCAAGGCGACGACGGGUAGCCGGCCUGAGAGGGUGACCGGCCACACUGGGACUGAGACACGGCCCAGACUCCUACGGGAGGCAGCAGUGGGGAAUAUUGGACAAUGGGCGCAAGCCUGAUCCAGCAAUGCCGCGUGAGUGAUGAAGGCCUUAGGGUUGUAAAGCUCUUUUACCCGGGAUGAUAAUGACAGUACCGGGAGAAUAAGCCCCGGCUAACUCCGUGCCAGCAGCCGCGGUAAU